This 744-nucleotide ribosomal RNA is filed under the name uncultured bacterium. RNAcentral's name for it is "bacterial SSU rRNA". It matches the Rfam family "Bacterial small subunit ribosomal RNA", at positions 8 to 798 of the family's 1533-position model. The record is from RNAcentral.
AGAGUUUGAUCAUGGCUCAGGACGAACGCUGGCGGCAUGCCUAACACAUGCAAGUCGAACGAGACCUUCGGGUCUAGUGGCGCACGGGUGCGUAACGCGUGGGAACCUGCCUUUAGGUUCGGAAUAACUCAGAGAAAUUUGAGCUAAUACCGGAUAAUGUCUUCGGACCAAAGAUUUAUCGCCUUUAGAUGGGCCCGCGUUGGAUUAGCUAGUUGGUGGGGUAAAGGCCUACCAAGGCGACGAUCCAUAGCUGGUCUGAGAGGAUGAUCAGCCACACUGGGACUGAGACACGGCCCAGACUCCUACGGGAGGCAGCAGUGGGGAAUAUUGGACAAUGGGCGCAAGCCUGAUCCAGCCAUGCCGCGUGAGUGACGAAGGUCUUCGGAUUGUAAAGCUCUUUUGGCGGGGACGAUAAUGACGGUACCCGCAGAAUAAGCCCCGGCUAACUUCGUGCCAGCAGCCGCGGUAAUACGAAGGGGGCUAGCGUUGUUCGGAAUCACUGGGCGUAAAGAGCUCGUAGGUGGUUUGUCGCGUUGUUCGUGAAAACUCACAGCUUAACUGUGGGCGUGCGGGCGAUACGGGCAGACUAGAGUACUGCAGGGGAGACUGGAAUUCCUGGUGUAGCGGUGGAAUGCGCAGAUAUCAGGAGGAACACCGGUGGCGAAGGCGGGUCUCUGGGCAGUAACUGACGCUGAGGAGCGAAAGCGUGGGGAGCGAACAGGAUUAGAUACCCUGGUAGUCCAA